RNAcentral lists this ribosomal RNA (800 nucleotides) under Nocardiopsis sp. JB363. RNAcentral's name for it is "bacterial SSU rRNA". It matches the Rfam family "Bacterial small subunit ribosomal RNA", at positions 77 to 878 of the family's 1533-position model. Lineage: Bacteria; Bacillati; Actinomycetota; Actinomycetes; Streptosporangiales; Nocardiopsidaceae. The record is from RNAcentral.
CCUUCGGGGUACACGAGCGGCGAACGGGUGAGUAACACGUGAGCAACCUGCCCCUGACUCUGGGAUAAGCGGUGGAAACGCCGUCUAAUACCGGAUACGACUCAUCACCUCAUGGUGGUGGGUGGAAAGUUUUUUCGGUUGGGGAUGGGCUCGCGGCCUAUCAGCUUGUUGGUGGGGUAAAGGCCUACCAAGGCGAUUACGGGUAGCCGGCCUGAGAGGGCGACCGGCCACACUGGGACUGAGACACGGCCCAGACUCCUACGGGAGGCAGCAGUGGGGAAUAUUGCACAAUGGGCGAAAGCCUGAUGCAGCGACGCCGCGUGGGGGAUGACGGCCUUCGGGUUGUAAACCUCUUUUACCACUAACGCAGGCUCCCAGUUCUCUGGGGGUUGACGGUAGGUGGGGAAUAAGGACCGGCUAACUACGUGCCAGCAGCCGCGGUAAUACGUAGGGUCCGAGCGUUGUCCGGAAUUAUUGGGCGUAAAGAGCUCGUAGGCGGCGUGUCGCGUCUGCUGUGAAAGACCGGGGCUUAACUCCGGUUCUGCAGUGGAUACGGGCACGCUAGAGGUAGGUAGGGGAGACUGGAAUUCCUGGUGUAGCGGUGAAAUGCGCAGAUAUCAGGAGGAACACCGGUGGCGAAGGCGGGUCUCUGGGCCUUACCUGACGCUGAGGAGCGAAAGCAUGGGGAGCGAACAGGAUUAGAUACCCUGGUAGUCCAUGCCGUAAACGUUGGGCGCUAGGUGUGGGGACUUUCCACGGUUUCCGCGCCGCAGCUAACGCAUUAAGCGCCCCGCCUGGGG